CGGGAGGUUGGCGGUGGACGAACCACUCGCCAACCGGGUCAGGUCCGGAAGGAAGCAGCCCCAACGAGCUUCGGCUCGGGUCACUCGUCGGCCUCCCACCCU
Molecule: signal recognition particle RNA, 102 nt
Filed under: uncultured Pleomorphomonas sp.
Lineage: Bacteria; Pseudomonadati; Pseudomonadota; Alphaproteobacteria; Hyphomicrobiales; Pleomorphomonadaceae
Description: SRP_bact
Rfam family: Bacterial small signal recognition particle RNA
About the family: The signal recognition particle (SRP) is a universally conserved ribonucleoprotein involved in the co-translational targeting of proteins to membranes. Archaeal SRP consists of a 7S RNA and homologues of the eukaryotic SRP19 and SRP54 proteins. In most bacteria, the SRP consists of a 4.5S RNA and the Ffh protein (a homologue of the eukaryotic SRP54 protein).
Source: RNAcentral